This 855-nucleotide ribosomal RNA is filed under the name Cupriavidus sp. RNAcentral describes it as "bacterial LSU rRNA". It matches the Rfam family "Bacterial large subunit ribosomal RNA", at positions 2083 to 2925 of the family's 2925-position model. Lineage: Bacteria; Pseudomonadati; Pseudomonadota; Betaproteobacteria; Burkholderiales; Burkholderiaceae. The record is from RNAcentral.
GAAAGACCCCAUGAACCUUUACUGUAGCUUUGCAUUGGACUUUGAACCGAUCUGUGUAGGAUAGGUGGGAGGCUUUGAAGCGUGGACGCUAGUUCACGUGGAGCCGUCCUUGAAAUACCACCCUGGUUUGUUUGAGGUUCUAACCUUGGCCCGUGAAUCCGGGUCGGGGACAGUGCAUGGUAGGCAGUUUGACUGGGGCGGUCUCCUCCCAAAGUGUAACGGAGGAGUUCGAAGGUACGCUUGGUACGGUCGGACAUCGUACCUAAAGUGCAAUGGCAAAAGCGUGCUUAACUGCGAGACUGACAAGUCGAGCAGGUGCGAAAGCAGGACAUAGUGAUCCGGUGGUUCUGAAUGGAAGGGCCAUCGCUCAACGGAUAAAAGGUACUCCGGGGAUAACAGGCUGAUACCGCCCAAGAGUUCAUAUCGACGGCGGUGUUUGGCACCUCGAUGUCGGCUCAUCUCAUCCUGGGGCUGUAGCCGGUCCCAAGGGUAUGGCUGUUCGCCAUUUAAAGAGGUACGUGAGCUGGGUUUAAAACGUCGUGAGACAGUUUGGUCCCUAUCUGCCGUGGGCGUUGGAAUCUUGACGGGGGCUGCUCCUAGUACGAGAGGACCGGAGUGGACGUACCGCUGGUGUACCUGUUGUCUCGCCAGAGGCAUCGCAGGGUAGCUAUGUACGGAAGAGAUAACCGCUGAAAGCAUCUAAGCGGGAAACUCGCCUGAAGAUGAGGAUUCCCUGGAGGCUUGACCUCCUUGAAGGGUCGUUCGAGACCAGGACGUUGAUAGGCUGGGUGUGGAAGCGCAGUAAUGCGUUAAGCUAACCAGUACUAAUUGCCCGUAAGGCUUGAUCCUAUAACC